Long non-coding RNA from Salvelinus sp. IW2-2015, 1918 nucleotides. RefSeq lists it as uncharacterized. The record is from RefSeq and is a predicted model, not a curated record. NCBI's taxonomy places the organism in Eukaryota, Metazoa, Chordata, Actinopteri, Salmoniformes, Salmonidae.
ACUUGCCUGGUAAAAUAAAUUAAAAAACUACUCCACGGCAAAGACACCACUUUUCCUACACCUCUUGCUUCCGGCUCUAGUCCCAACGAAGCGGGCCAACUCAGAGAAUCUUCCCACUGCUUUAGACAGUGAUCUUACAGCAAUUACAAUGGUAAACAAUUUCAAUAUGACACAAACAACAUUAAAAAUAGGUGUUUUUAUUACUCACAAAUAUGAUUUCCCCAAUACACAGAUCAACACAAAGGGGAUGCAGAUGGUGAUUGUUUGAUGGAUGAGAUCCUGAGCUAUAUAAGCGGAUGGCUUGCACAUGAGGUGCAGAAAGAGCAAAUCCUCCAUGACUGCAAGGCAUGCGAGAGGCUGCUGGUCCACAUGGGUUCUGAGCAUAACUAUGCUAAAGGAUCUUCUGAUGCAACAACCUUUAUCAACAGGAAGUGCUACACUGAGGACACUAGACUGGUGGAGCCAUCUCAUCUGCUGAGGGUGAUGGUAACAAAAAUGGAGGACACAAUUGACAAAAACCUUGCCAGUUUUUGCCCAGAGACUUCUAUUGUGUCAGGACUAAGAGUCCUCUUACUUAGAUCUAGUCUAGUGCCUUUGAUUGCAUCCUGGAAGGCCGUGUCGAUGCAUGCCUACCCCCUCCAUAGGAAAAAAUAUAAAGAAAUACACCAUGUGUAGAAUGCGAGCGCAGCUUAGAAAAAUUGAUUGUGAAGUUAACGAACCAAAAACCACAGCACAGCGUAAACUGAAUUAUUUCACCGGAUAAUACAUUUUUGGGGGUGUUUUAUAAUAUCAGACAUCGGUAACUGUAUGGCGCCGUGUGCUGUAUGGGAAGUGAACAGAGUGUAUGUACAGUGUGGAGCCUAAAGUGUAUGAAGCCAACAAAAAGUCAGAGGAGGGGGGAUACUAAGAAAAAUAAACAGGGGAGCACACAGACCUGUGAUUUGUCCAAUUGUUUUUAAACAAUGGCAAAACAUUUUUUUCUUAAACAGUGUUUCUUCCUUUCACAUAAACAUGCAGUGGCUUUAGGUGAAGGUAUGGUAUAAGUGUAUUUGUAGGUACUGUUGGCAUAGUGUGCUACAGCAGCUCUAGUUAUUAUGGCUAUAUAUGUUGCUUUAAAGUUUGUGUGAAUGCAACUGUCUGUAGAUUGUAGUAGGCUAAUGUGUAUUGUAUGUAUUAGCAAAGUGCUGGAGAAAAGGAGACUGAGGAUAUGCCUGAGGUUCAAGAGACCGUCUCUGUGAUACCAGGAAGUGUCUAACUGUGGAGAAUAACUCCAUGACCUGCACAUUCAGAAGAGAUGUAUCAUUUCACCAUGACUCUGAAUGAGCUGGAGCCUGGCAUGGUGAGGCUAUUGGCAGCGUAAGAAUGCCAUCUAAGACCUGACGUCAGAGCCAUGGAGAAUGGAGACCUGGACGCAGCAAGUGUAGAAAAGGACAGACUAGAGGAAAAACAGAGAGCUGCACGCAAAUAACCUUCCAAGGAUGAAGAAGAGUGGUCAACCAGGUGUGUUCACUAUGCAACAGUAAUAAGUAUGCCCGGAAAUGUGAAUGUAUUGUCAUGUUAAUAUAUUCCAAUUUGAAUUCAAUUAUUUCUCUAAAACAUAUUUCUGUACCAUUUUAUUUUUUACUUUACAGGUGGUUUCGGUAGGAAAACAUCUCACUGGGAGGUGUAAUCACUGUUAGGAGGARAUGGAGAGAGUGGAACAUGUCCUAGUUCUUCGAGAUGAGAAUAACAGGUAGGAUUUAGAUUUUUCCUGUCUCUGGUACACACUCCAGUCCGGUUGGUGGCGGUAAUGGACCUUAAAGUUGGUUGCCCACUGUCAUAUAAAAACCACUGUCACGCCCUGUAGUAGGUCAGGGCGUGACUAGGGGGUGUUCUAGUAUGUCUAUUUCUAUGUUGGUGCUAAUAUGGUUCCCAAUUA